This 467-nucleotide ribosomal RNA is filed under the name uncultured bacterium. Its description in RNAcentral is "partial 16S ribosomal RNA". It matches the Rfam family "Bacterial small subunit ribosomal RNA", at positions 28 to 506 of the family's 1533-position model. The record is from RNAcentral.
GACGAACGCUGGCGGCGUGCUUAACACAUGCAAGUCGAACGGAAAGGCCCUGCUUUUGUGGGGUGCUCGAGUGGCGAACGGGUGAGUAACACGUGAGUAACCUGCCCUUGACUUUGGGAUAACUUCAGGAAACUGGGGCUAAUACCGGAUAGGAGCUCCUGCUGCAUGGUGGGGGUUGGAAAGUUUCGGCGGUUGGGGAUGGACUCGCGGCUUAUCAGCUUGUUGGUGGGGUAGUGGCUUACCAAGGCUUUGACGGGUAGCCGGCCUGAGAGGGUGACCGGCCACAUUGGGACUGAGAUACGGCCCAGACUCCUACGGGAGGCAGCAGUGGGGAAUAUUGCACAAUGGGCGGAAGCCUGAUGCAGCAACGCCGCGUGCGGGAUGACGGCCUUCGGGUGGUAAACCGCUUUCGCCUGUGACGAAGCGUGAGUGACGGUAACGGGUAAAGAAGCACCGGCUAACUACGU